GAUUUCAAUCACUAUAAAAAUCAAAAUUUUCAAAAACAUCAAAGUGCAAGUUUUUUAAUUUAAAUUGUUCAAACUUUUGCCGAAAAUAAAGCCAGUGCCAAUAAAAAUCAAGAUAUCCACGUACAUUACCAUUAAAACGUGGUGACGCAAUAAUUGCGAAUUUUUCGAGUGUGCAAAGAAGAAAUAUUGUAAAGAAAACACUAAACUUGAUGACGAGAAUCUCCUCCAAAUCCAAGUAAGAAGCCAUAGAUGCUUGCGGCAUACUCUACCAACUACAAGCUGUACGUUUUCGGUGAUCCACUCCGGUGAGAUUCCCAACAUGACGAGCCCAUUAAUUUAUUUUGCCAAGGUUUGUCUUCAGUAAACGCCUUCUCAUCAUCCGCCUGUGUUCCAAAAGACACCACCAUAAGGUUUGACCAGACCGUCAUGCCACCGAAACGGGUACACGUCAGACCAAAACCAUGUGGAUUCCUAAAAUCGUCAUAAAAGUUCUUGCUUGAAACCUACAUAAUAACUACUAUAACCUGAAUUUGUUGUCAACAUUUGAUGAAAUUACCCUUGUUCACUAACAUUUUCUUCAAAUCACGAUGUUCCCCCUAAUAAACAAAUUCGCAUUUAAA
Long non-coding RNA from Stomoxys calcitrans (stable fly), 620 nucleotides. RefSeq lists it as uncharacterized. Lineage: Eukaryota; Metazoa; Arthropoda; Insecta; Diptera; Muscidae. The record is from RefSeq and is a predicted model, not a curated record. The transcript has 2 exons.